RNAcentral lists this ribosomal RNA (435 nucleotides) under uncultured bacterium. Its description in RNAcentral is "partial 16S ribosomal RNA". It matches the Rfam family "Bacterial small subunit ribosomal RNA", at positions 29 to 507 of the family's 1533-position model. The record is from RNAcentral.
AGCGAACGCUGGCGGCAGGCUUAACACAUGCAAGUCGAACGGGCUUCUUCGGAAGUCAGUCGCAGACGGGUGAGUAACACGUGGGAACGUGCCCUUCGGUUCGGGAUAACGCAGGGAAACUUGAGCGAAUACCGGAUACGCCCUUAUGGGGAAAUGUCUACUGCCCAAGGCUCGGCCCGGGACUGAUUAGCCUGUUGGUGAGGUAACGGCCUACCAAGGCGACGAUCAGUAGCUCGUCUGAGAGAAUGACCAGCCACACGGGGACUGACACACGACCCGGACUCCUGCAGGCGACACAGAUCGGGAAUAUUGGACAAUGGACGCAAUCCUGAUACAGCCACGCCGCGUGAGUGAUGCAGGCCUUAGGCUUGUAAAGCUCUUUUGUCCGGGACGAUAAUGACGAUACCGGAAGAAUAAGCCCCGGCUAACUUCGUG